UACGUAGGGUGCGAGCGUUGUCCGGAAUUACUGGGCGUAAAGAGCUCGUAGGUGGUUUGUCGCGUUGUUCGUGAAAUCUCACGGCUUAACUGUGAGCGUGCGAGCGAUACGGGCAGACUGGAGUACUGCAGGGGAGACUGGAAUUCCUGGUGUAGCGGUGAAAUGCGCAGAUAUCAGGAGGAACACCGAUGGCGAAGGCAGGUCUCUGGGCAUUAACUGACGCUGAGGAGCGAAAGCAUGGGGAGCGAACAGG
Molecule: ribosomal RNA, 253 nt
Filed under: uncultured bacterium
Lineage: Bacteria
Description: partial 16S ribosomal RNA
Rfam family: Bacterial small subunit ribosomal RNA
Source: RNAcentral